UUGGAGGGCAAGUCUGGUGCCAGCAGCCGCGGUAAUUCCAGCUCCAAUAGCGUAUAUUAAAGUUGUUGCAGUUAAAAAGCUCGUAGUUGAAUUUCGGGAUCAAUACGCCUGUCGUGCCUUCGGUACGUACGGGUGUAAUUGGUCUCUACCUUCUGAGGAUCCUUGAUGUCAUUAAUUUGGUGUCUUGGGGACUCAGGACUGUUACCUUGAAAAAAUUAGAGUGUUUAAAGCAGGCAUACGCUUGAAUACAUUAGCAUGGAAUAAUGAAAUAGGACGUUCGAUUCUAUUUUGUUGGUUUCUAGGAUCGACGUAAUGAUUAAUAGGGAUAGUUGGGGGCAUUAGUAUUCAAUUGUCAGAGGUGAAAUUCUUGGAUUUAUUGAAGACUAACUACUGCGAAAGCAUUUGCCAAGGAUGUUUUCAUUAAUCAAGAACGAAAGUUAGGGGAUCGAAGACGAUCAGAUACCGUCGUAGUCUUAACCAUAAACUAUGCCGACUAGGGAUCGGAUGAUGUUAAUUUUUUAAUGACUCAUUCGGCGCCUUACGGGAAAC
RNAcentral lists this ribosomal RNA (549 nucleotides) under uncultured Glomus. Its description in RNAcentral is "SSU rRNA". It matches the Rfam family "Eukaryotic small subunit ribosomal RNA", at positions 548 to 1098 of the family's 1831-position model. Lineage: Eukaryota; Fungi; Glomeromycota; Glomeromycetes; Glomerales; Glomeraceae. The record is from RNAcentral.